Long non-coding RNA from Nematostella vectensis (starlet sea anemone), 1556 nucleotides. RefSeq lists it as uncharacterized. The record is from RefSeq and is a predicted model, not a curated record. The transcript is spliced from 2 exons. NCBI's taxonomy places the organism in Eukaryota, Metazoa, Cnidaria, Anthozoa, Actiniaria, Edwardsiidae.
GCACCAGAGCAAGAUCCCCCCGUGAACAGCGCCAGAGCAAGAUCCCCCCGUGGACAGCGCCAGAGCAAGAUCCCUCCCGUGGACAGCGCCAGAGCAAGAUCCCCCCGUGGACAGUGCCAAAACCAGAUUUCCUUAUCGACAGAGCUAAAGCCAGAUAUCACGGUGGGAAGCGCCAGAGCCAGAUACCCCGUAGACAGCGCAAAAGCCAGAUCCCCCCAUAGAGCGCUAGAUUCUACCAUGUAGAUCUGAUUUUGUACUGUACAGAAUGAUUUCCUCUGUGACAUAUACAUUAAUUUUUGGGGCUUUCAAACUAUUGUGAUAUUUUGUGUCCGUUUUAGAAAAUUCCUUGCUAUCAGUUUUUGUUAAUAUAUUUCGGAUACUUCGGAUACAAUUUCACAGCAAUGACUAAACAAUAACGGACAUUGAUAAAAAAAAACGAUGCCUAUCAAGUGCUUUCCCAAGCUGAAUGCCACGAAUUGUUUGGACACAGACAUUACCUGAACAGCAAAUCAAACUGUAGGUUUUAAAAAGUGGUUAUUCAUAGUUCAUCAAUGUUGAAAAUGUUUUACCUGCACCGGCCAGAACCAGCUUUGGUGAAUCUCUCACCCCUAAGAAACGGAGAUGCUUCUUGAUGUCUUGUGUGCAGUUUGUGAUUUUCAGGCACCGCACUAUACCAGGGUUGUCUUGACUAGCGCAACACUCCCCGCCUACGAACUGAGAGUAUGAGCAAAAAGCCAUAUUCUCACUAAAACUGUGCAAAACGGACAGCAAGAAGAAACCAGUGUAUAAACACUCAUAGAACGUACCUGGUACUGGUAUGAAAAACUUCUGUUUAUUACCAACUUUCAAUUUCACACAAGAUGUGUAACUUCCGCUCCGCAUUGAAAUAAAAUACAUCAUUUCGAUGGCUUACAAUUUCAAGCAAUCCUUACGGUUGGACAUUAUUUAUUUUAUUCUAUCCCACAAUAAGGAAUCAGAUUUUUUGAUGAGGGGCUCUUUCUGUUUUCUCUCUUUUUUUGUAUUGUGUUUGAGAAACUUUGGGACUCCUGUGUGCACUGCCGGUCACGUGGAAGCACCAUGAAAAACAUUCCGAGAUCGCAAGCCGAAGCGAGUUAAAAGGAAUUUUAUUCGUUUGUAGAGGAACAAGCAUUGAUUAAAAACGAUGGCUAUCAAGUACUUUCCCAAGCUGAGCGUUGUUUCGAGGUGGGAGCGUCGGCAAAAGCCAAAUUUUCCUGCCAAUUCAGCUGUUGGUGUCACAGUUAGCCCAAGUUUGAAAGGUCAAUAACCUGUGAAGUGUUGUAUCUUCUUGGCGCUCUCAGCGCUCCGGAUUUUAUUAUCCCCAAAAUUUUAUUUCAGAUUCUAGGCCAGUAAGUGACUGUCUUUUCAGGAAAAAUGGCCAUUUUUGAUAGAGCAAUGUACCAGAUGCGACUUUUAAGGCCUCAAUUUGUCGGUUUGACGAUCGUGCAAAAUGAUGGAUGCGAGGCUAUAUUUGAGAAAAUCUGUCAAAUAUUCUAUUUUAACUGGAUUAAGCCGAGAUUAAAAUAAUAUUGAGAGUA